This 273-nucleotide unclassified non-coding RNA is filed under the name Hevea brasiliensis (rubber tree). The record is from RNAcentral. Lineage: Eukaryota; Viridiplantae; Streptophyta; Magnoliopsida; Malpighiales; Euphorbiaceae.
AAUGAAGGAGAGGGGCUUGCUAAGGUUAUAUCUCUCAACUUUUCUCCUUCAUCAAUAGUGUUUCUUUGGCAAACACAAUGCAAGUAGUCAAUUGAUUUGCCUUCUGUUGUUGUCCUCUUUAAAUGAAUAGCUAGUGACUAUAUAUUUCUAAAGCUGUUCCUUGGAUGUUUGUUGGUACAUAAAUUAUUUAUUAGUUAUCUACUUCUGUUGAUAUUAGAUAAAUUUCCUUUGCUGCUCCAUGGUUACUAAUUUUUUUUUUAAAUCUUCAUGCAA